UACGAAGGGGGCUAGCGUUGUUCGGAAUUACUGGGCGUAAAGCGCGCGCAGGCGGUCUUCCAAGUCAGUGGUGAAAGCCCGGAGCUCAACUCCGGAACUGCCAUUGAAACUGUUAGACUUGAGGACAGAAGAGGUUGGCGGAACUUUAUGAGUAGGGGUGAAAUCCAUUGAUUCAUGCGGGACCACCAAAGAGGCGAAGGCAGCUAACUAUUCUGCUCCUGACAUUGAGGCAUGAAAGCGUGGGGAGCAAAACGG
Molecule: ribosomal RNA, 255 nt
Filed under: uncultured bacterium
Lineage: Bacteria
Description: partial 16S ribosomal RNA
Rfam family: Bacterial small subunit ribosomal RNA
Source: RNAcentral